RNAcentral lists this long non-coding RNA (3669 nucleotides) under Sus scrofa (pig). RNAcentral describes it as "lncRNA (ENSSSCG00030063207.1)". The record is from RNAcentral. Lineage: Eukaryota; Metazoa; Chordata; Mammalia; Artiodactyla; Suidae.
GCUCUCGGCCGUCGCUGCCCAACGAGCUUCGAUAAACUGCUCUUUUACUGACACUCUGCAGGGCCCAUCCGAAAGAGAAAAUGGGGGGAGAACCCAGGACUCUGGCGUUCUGUUCUCCUAAUAAACUGAGGUUACGAUUGCAAGGUGUACGUAUGUGGGCGGUUGGACCAAUGCUGCCAUCUCGUGGCUGAAACCCCCAACAUACCGCUGCCUGCCUUAAGACCGCGCUGUGGUUUGAGGUGGUUUUAGGCGCGGGCCGCAGACGGGUGAAGCAAAGGAAGAUUUAAUUUGUCAGCCCAGUUAGACCUCCCCAGAUUCCCUGGUUUACUGAAUGGGGCAGGACUUAUGAAAACUAUAGAGAUGUGCAAAAGAACAACCAUCCUUCUCUCUGCUACUAUGAAUUUUGACUUUUUAAGAUUCUACAUGUAAAUGAUAUAAUGACAGCACCCCUGGACAUAGAGAAGUUCUCAGGCCAGGGGUGGAAUCUCUAGCCGCCGGCCUGCACCACAACCACAGCAACUCCAGAUCCAAGCCACAUCUGCGACCUACACCACAGCUCACAGCAACACCAGGUCCUUAACCCACUGAGUGAGGCCAGGGAUCAUACCUGAAUCCCCAUGGAUAUUAGUCGGGUUUGUUACUGCUGAGACAUGAUGGAACGCCCACCAUUUCUUUUUUUAAGUUAAAGUUUUGAUUUUAUGUUUAUCUUUUAUUAUAAAAACUCAUUAUAGAGUUUUAUUUUUUUCCACUAUAGCUGGUUUACAGUGUUCUGUCAAUUUUCUCCUGCAUAGCAAGGUGACCCAGUCACACAUACAUGUAUACAUUCUUUUUUCUUACAUUACCAUGCUCCAUUACAAGUGACCAGACACAGUUCCCAGUGCUAUACAGCGGGAUCCCAUUGCUUAUCCAUUCCAAAGGCAGUAGUUUGCAUCUAUUAAACCCAAAUUCCCAGUCCAUCCCACUCCCUCCCCCUCCCUCUUGGCAACCAGAAGUUUGUUCUUCUUGUCCAUGGUUUUCUUUUCUGUGGAAAGAUUCAUUUGUGCCAUAUAUUAGAUUCCAGAUAUAAGUGAUAUCAUAUGGUAUUUGUCUUUCUUUUUCUGACUUACUUCACUCAGUAUGAGUCUCUAGUUCCAUCCAUGUUGCUGCAAAUAGCAUUAUUUUUUUCUUUUUUUUUAUGUCUGAAUAGUACUCCAUUGUGUAUAUAUACCACAUCUUCUUAAUCCAAUCCUCUGUCAAUGGACAUUUAGGUUGUUUCCAUGCCUUGGCUAUUGUGAAUAGUGCUGCAAUGAACAUGUGGGUGCAAGUGUCUUUUUCAAGGGAAGUUUUGUCCGAGUAUAUGUCCAAGAGUGGGGUUGCUGAGUCAUAUGAUAGUUCUAUGUAUAGUUUUCUAAGGUACCUCCAUACUGUUCUCCAUAGUGGCUGUACCAGCUUACAUUCCCAUCGACAGUGCAGGAAGGUUCCCUUUUCUCCACACCCUCUCCAGCAUUUGUUAUCUGUGGCCCUUCUGACUGGUGUGAGUGACUUUAUGUUUAAAAGUUAACACAUCUUGAGUUUUCUGAGCCAACAAGCAUGUUCUCUAACACCAUAUUCUACAAGUGGAUAUUGAAAUAAAUUUUAGCUAAAAUAUAUCAACAGAAGAAUUCCUACUAUUCCUUAAAUACAUUUUUGGUUUUUAACAUUCAGUUAAUUUAAAUUCUUCUAGUACUUACAUUGAAUUAUGGUGGUUUUUUCCCCCCUUUUCCCCAGCAGUUACUGAAAUAUACUUGACAUAUAAUAUUGUACUACUUUUAGUUGUACACAUAGCGAUUUCAUAUUUGUAUACAUAGCCAAAUUAUUACCAUAAUAAAUUUAGUUAACACUCAUACCCUCACAUAGUUAAUAAUUCUUUUUCUUGUGAUAAUAACUUUUAAGAUCUACUCUCCUAGCUAAUUACAAAUAUACAACAUUGUUAACCAUACUCACCAUGCUAUACAUUACAUCCCUAGAAUUUAUCUUAUGACUGGAAGUUUGUACCUUUUGCUUACCUUCACCCAUUUUGCCUCUCACCCCCAAACCCCACCUCUGGCAACUACCAAUACGUAUCUAUGAGUUUGGGUUUUCAUUUUUGUUUUUUUUUGUUUUUUGUCUUUUUAGGGCCGAAUCUGUGGUAUAUGCAGCUUCCCAGGCUAUGAGUUGAGUUGAAGCUGUAGCUGCCAGCCGAGCAGUGUCUGCCAUCUAUACCACAGCUUACUGAGCCACAAUGGGAACUCCAAGUUUGGGGUUUUGUUUUUUUUAAGAUUCCAUGUAUAGAUGAGAUCAUACAGGGUUUGUCUUUCUCUUUCUGACUUAUUUCACAUAAUGCCUUCAGGGUCCAUCUGUCAUUGCAAAUGGCAGGAUUUCUUUUAUUUAGAAAUAAUUUUAUUGAAAUAUAGUUGUUUCACAACAUUGUUCCUUCAUUUUUAUGGCUGAAUUUCCUCUGAUAUAUAUUGAUAUACUGAUGUCAUAUUUUCUUUAUCCGUUCAUCCAUCAAUGGACAUUUGGGUUGAUUCCAUAUGUUGGCUGUUGUAAAUCAUCCUGCAAUGAACAUGAAGGUGCAGAUAGGUAUCUUUUUGAGAUAGUGGUUUUUCUUUCUUUUGAAUAUAUACAUAGAAGUAGGAUUGCCGGAUUAUAUGGCAGUUUUCAAUUUUUUGAUGAACCUCCAUACUGUUCUCCAUAGUGGCUAUGCCAGUUUACAUUCCCACCUACAGUGAACAAGGGUUCCUUUUUCUCCACAUCCCCACCAACUUUUGUUAUUUCUGGGUUUUUUUUUUUGAUGAUAGGCAUUGUAAGGUGAUAUCUCAUUGUGUGUGAGUGUGUGUGUGUGUGUGUGUGUGUGUUUGGCCAUGCCUAAGGCAUAUGGAGAUUCUCUGGGUCAGGAAUUGAACCCAUGCCAAAGCAGUGACCUGAGCCAUAGCCAUGACAGUGCUCCAUCCUUAACCACCAGGCUACCAGGGAACUCCCCCACCUAUAUUUUUUCUUCUAGGAGUUUUAUGGUGUCUAGUCUUACAUUUAGGUCUUUAAUCCAUUUUGAGUUUAUUUUUAUAUAUGGUGUUAGAGAAUGUUCUAGUUUCAUUCUUGUACAAGUAACUGUCCAGUUUUCCUAGUACCACUUAUUGAAUAGAAUAUAUUUUCUCCAUUGUAUAUUCUUGCCUCCUUUGUCAUGGAUUAAUUAACCAUAAGUGUGUGGAUUUAUUUUGGGGCUUUCUUUUCUUUUCCAUUGAUCUAUGUGUCUGUUGGAAGCACAACUGAUUAUUGUGUAUUGAUUUUGAAUACUCCAAAUUUACUGGAUUUAUUAGUUGUAAGAGUUUGUGCAUGUGUGUGUGUGUGUGCAGUCUUUAGAGUUUUCUUCCUGUAGGAUCAUGCCAUCUGCAAACAGUGAGAACUGUCCUUCUUCCUUUUAGAUUUGGAUUUCUUUUUUGUGGGGGCUCUGAUUGCUGUUUACAAUAUUUCUAGUACAAUGUUGAAUAGAAGUGGCAAGAGUGGACAUCCUUGUCUUGUACUGAAUCUUAGGAAAAAAUUAUCAGUUUUUCUGCAUUGAUUAUGAUUUAGCUGUGACUUUUCAUAAAUGGUCUCUGUUAUGUUGAGAAAGUUUCCUUUUGUACCUAUUUUGUUGAGAAUUUAUAUCACAAAUAAAUGUUGAAUGUUGUCAAA